GUCUAUUUAUUUAUUUAUUUAUUUAUUUUUUCCUAAACACAUGUUAUAGUUUCUUUUCCUGACUACCUAAGCACAAUUUCUUUUAUCACUCUACUGUUGUGAAAUCUUCAUGUUAUUUUAAAAUUCACAUUCUGGAAAUAUUUUGCAAUUUUUAGUUAAAAUUUACAAUAAAUAUCCCCUUUUUUCAAUACAGAUUACAAGAAUACUUACUGGGUGAAACUGCAUGGAAACAGUCUGAAUAAUUUCAUUUAACAAGCCAGAAAGAUUUUCAUAGAAAGUUCAAAGUUUCUUGCCUACUUCUACUAUCACAAUGAUGCACAAAGUCCUUACACUUCUUCAGUGCUCUCCCUGUGGCCCUGGAACACAGACGUGGAAAAAGUCAAGAAGUGCUGACUAAAGAAGCAGCUUAAAGGCAGUAGAUCAAGAGUGAUCAAGAUUGAUUUUUUCCACAGAGGACAGACAGUAAGUAGUUCCCUUACAACUGCAUGGAGUGAACAAAGGCCAUGGAAGAGUAUGUCCCAAGGCUGAGGACCUACUAAUAAUCUAGGGGUCUGGCUGCAGAAAAUAGAGCCAGAGUUCUGGACCCCAGCAAAGCAGCAGUCCUUUAACUUUAAGGAAAAUAAUACUUACCUGUCACAGGAGCACCAAAAGAAUGAGGUAACAGUUAUUAAUAGAAGAGCUUAUCCCAUAAGUAUUUAAAUGCUACUCAUUAAAAAGAAACUCGGACCAGAAUUCAGAAUGAGAGUCAAAACUAUUGCACACUAAUGUGGGAUUUACAUAAGUCAGUCACAAGUUUAGACCAGA
This 804-nucleotide long non-coding RNA is filed under the name Anas platyrhynchos platyrhynchos (common mallard). RNAcentral describes it as "lncRNA (ENSAPLG00000025326.1)". Lineage: Eukaryota; Metazoa; Chordata; Aves; Anseriformes; Anatidae. The record is from RNAcentral.